Molecule: ribosomal RNA, 400 nt
Filed under: phytoplankton environmental sample
Lineage: Eukaryota
Description: partial small subunit ribosomal RNA
Rfam family: Eukaryotic small subunit ribosomal RNA
Source: RNAcentral
AGCUCCAAUAGCGUAUAUUAAAGUUGUUGCAGUUAAAAAGCUCGUAGUUGGAUUUCUGGUAGGAGUGACCGACCCGACCGAAUGGUUGCGUGUUUGUGUUGUCUCCGGCCAUCGUUUGUAGAGAGUGCGUUGGGUAUUUAUUUAUCUGGCGUAGGACCUACAUCCUUCACUGUGAAAAAAUUAGAGUGUUUAAAGCAAGCAAUCGCUGUGAAUACAUUAGCAUGGAAUGAUAAGAUAGGACUUUGGUGCUAUUUUGUUGGUUUACACACCAAGGUAAUGAUUAACAGGGACAGUUGGGGGUAUUCGUAUUUAAUUGUCAGAGGUGAAAUUCUUGGAUUUAUGAAAGACGAACUACUGCGAAAGCAUUUACCAAGGAUGUUUUCAUUAAUCAAGAACGAAA